AAAAAAAGUCACAAAAUUUACAUUUUGCAAGUAUUAUGCGGUAAGAACCUCUACUUCAAUUACAAAUUUUACGAUGGAUUCUAAGAACUGGUGGAGAAAAAAAUAUAUAGGUUUCACAACUUCUGAGAAGUCAAAUGGGAAAUGAAUAAACAAUGCACUCACCCAUCAGUUGGAAUAUUUGUAGUAGCCAACUGCGCAGGAUAAAGAGGAUGUUCAACAGCAACCAGAAAACUGUAUAUGAAGGAACAAAAAUGAUUCCAUAAGAUGCAAAUACUGCAGCAUCACUAAAAGUAAAUGACAGCAACAUGACAAACCAAUCACCACAACAUCAAACGAAGAGAAGUUAGGGAUUAAUGACAAGAAUUAUCCUACACAAGAUGCCAGUGAAGAAUGCGAGCUGGCAAUAAGCCUCUAAAAGAUUUUAAUCUAGCAAUUUAGCUUUCACCCCAUAAGUUGGAGAUAGCAAGAAAAGGAUCAUAUCUAUCUCCUCAGUUAACAAUGCCCAAGUCCAACUGCUCAUCUAUCAGAAGACUUUUUUAAGCCAACUAUAAAAAAAUCAUAUCACUCGUGAUUCCUUUCCCGCCACAAUCAAGCUUCUUAACCUUCCCCCUACCAACAGCAUCACAUAAACUACCAUCAAUUUAC
RNAcentral lists this unclassified non-coding RNA (645 nucleotides) under Hevea brasiliensis (rubber tree). Lineage: Eukaryota; Viridiplantae; Streptophyta; Magnoliopsida; Malpighiales; Euphorbiaceae. The record is from RNAcentral.